Molecule: ribosomal RNA, 254 nt
Filed under: uncultured bacterium
Lineage: Bacteria
Description: partial 16S ribosomal RNA
Rfam family: Bacterial small subunit ribosomal RNA
Source: RNAcentral
UACGUAGGUGGCAAGCGUUGUCCGGAUUUACUGGGCGUAAAGAGCUCGUAGGCGGUGUGUCGCGUCGGCCGUGAAAACCUGCAGCUUAACUGUGGGCUUGCGGUCGAUACGGGCAUCACUGGAGUUCGGCAGGGGAGACUGGAAUUCCUGGUGUAGCGGUGAAAUGCGCAGAUAUCAGGAGGAACACCGGUGGCGAAGGCGGGUCUCUGGGCCGAUACUGACGUUGAGGAGCGAAAGCGUGGGGAGCAAACAGG